GCUGGGCAUGGUGGCGUGUGCCUGUAAUCCCAGCUACUCAGGAGGCUGAGGCACAAAAAUCACUUGAACCCAGGAAGUGGAGGUUGCAGUGAGCCAAGAUCCUGCCACUGCACUCCAGCCUGGGUGACAGAGUGAGACUUUGUCUCAA
This 148-nucleotide non-coding RNA is filed under the name Homo sapiens (human). Lineage: Eukaryota; Metazoa; Chordata; Mammalia; Primates; Hominidae. The record is from Rfam by way of RNAcentral.